This 458-nucleotide ribosomal RNA is filed under the name uncultured Pseudomonas sp. Its description in RNAcentral is "bacterial SSU rRNA". It matches the Rfam family "Bacterial small subunit ribosomal RNA", at positions 925 to 1382 of the family's 1533-position model. The record is from RNAcentral. Lineage: Bacteria; Pseudomonadati; Pseudomonadota; Gammaproteobacteria; Pseudomonadales; Pseudomonadaceae.
ACAAGCGGUGGAGCAUGUGGUUAAUUCGAAGCAACGCGAAGAACCUUACCAGGCCUUGACAUGCAGAGAACUUUCCAGAGAUGGAUUGGUGCCUUCGGGAACUCUGACACAGGUGCUGCAUGGCUGUCGUCAGCUCGCGUCGUGAGAUGUUGGGUUAAGUCCCGUAACGAGCGCAACCCUUGUCCUUAGUUACCAGCACGUUAUGGUGGGCACUCUAAGGAGACUGCCGGUGACAAACCGGAGGAAAGGUGGGGAUGACGUCAAGUCAUCAUGGCCCUUACGGCCUGGGCUACACACGUGCUACAAUGGUCGGUACAAAGGGUUGCCAAGCCGCGAGGUGGAGCUAAUCCCAUAAAACCGAUCGUAGUCCGGAUCGCAGUCUGCAACUCGACUGCGUGAAGUCGGAAUCGCUAGUAAUCGUGAAUCAGAAUGUCACGGUGAAUACGUUCCCGGGCCUU